CGUAUAUCCAUGUUGAAUCUUGCUUAAAUAAUUAGUGAAUAAAUUAAUUAUUAAUAAAGAAAAUUAGAAAUAUAGUUUUUAUAAUUUAAUAUAAUAGAGCUAAUUAAAACAAGAAUUUUGAUACUAAUUUUAAAAAAUUUAACUCAAAAUUAAGUCAAAACAGGCCUAACCCGUCAAACCGGGCCCAAAAUGGGCCCAAGGCCAACCCAAGCCAACAAUUAAUAAGAGUUUCAGAUGCUCACCCCUGUUUCAAAAUGAAACACGCUGGGAAUUGUUGAAGGAGAGCGAAGAACAUGCAAAAUUCUUGGUGGUGAUUCAAAUCCACGUAACUUUAAUCCGGAGUUUUGAUCGCUGCACUGUUUACGGCCAUGCAACUGCAGCGUCGAACUCUACAAAGCCCAAUCAUUAGUUAGUUCAAAUUAGCUUGUGGGUUUUGUUGGGUUUGACUCACUUGAGCUAUGAGCAAGAUUGAAUGUUGUUGGUAGAACAUCAAAUUGGAGGUCAAACUUGUGAAAUUAAAGCUUUGGAUCAAUUUCUGGAAGCUAGGUUUCAUUGAUGAGGGGCGGUGGUUGAUAGCUUGUGUUGCGGGGAACGCUUCAGGUGUUCCGAGUUUAUCGAAAAAUCGGCCAAUGUUGAGAAGCACCACUCUGUAUUCUGGAGAAUCUGAUGAAGCAAAGGACUCUUGGGACUCAGGGGCGUAUUUUGUUUAUAUAUGUAUAUAGAUUCUCCACCUUGUAUCUUAUACUUGCCCCUCCUAGAGGUUGAUUUGAAAAAAUAGGUUUUGUAAACGGUAUUGAGAGUCAUGUUUGGGGAUUCUCAUGUAUAUAUAUGUAUAUAUAUUUAUAUGCUCUGUCCGGUUUUAACUUUGCGAGCCGGGUCAAAAGCUUUGUUAUAUAUA
Arachis stenosperma is the source of this 898-nucleotide long non-coding RNA. RefSeq lists it as uncharacterized. NCBI's taxonomy places the organism in Eukaryota, Viridiplantae, Streptophyta, Magnoliopsida, Fabales, Fabaceae. The record is from RefSeq and is a predicted model, not a curated record. The transcript has 4 exons.